This is a non-coding RNA of Durio zibethinus, 7357 nucleotides long. Lineage: Eukaryota; Viridiplantae; Streptophyta; Magnoliopsida; Malvales; Malvaceae. The record is from RefSeq and is a predicted model, not a curated record.
GUAAAAAUUGAGUUGAGACGAAAACGCGAGUUUUAAAAAGAAAUUUCAUUUUUCUAAUGGAAACAAAGUCGAAGAGUAAUGGAGGAUGCUUUUAAACCUUUGUCUUCGUGACGAUUGUCAGAGUUGAGAGAAUAAAAAAUAACAGGAUGCUAUAUGUCAGGCGAUGAUGGAGUCUUUAUUAUGUAUAAAAAUGCAAAAGCAACUCUUUGCAGGAUAAAAAUGUCUUAUGCAGUUUUAUAAUGACGUGGCAUAAUUUUGUCCUUAGAUUUAUUUAUUGAUGAUGUGUCCUUUAAUCUUACCGUUAACAGUCUCCUCUAUUUUAUAGAAAAAAAUAGCCCUAACCUUUUAAAUUUCCCAUUUUACUCACAAUUUCUCCAGAAUCACCUAAGAAAUGAACUAGGAUUAGGGUUUUGAGGAAUCGAUGCAACAAAGAAAGAAAACCGUGGACGAUUUCAGGGACUCGGUACCGAAAUCGGUGAGCGAUACGGUGAACGGGUCACACCAGUUCACGACCAAGGUUACUCGUUGGCGAAAGGGAUGGGACAUGUGAAAUGUAUAGCCGGCGAUGUUUUUACUGUCGGUGGUUACGAUUGGGCGAUUUACUUUUACCCCGACGGUGAAAACCUGGAGGAUAGUGCGAUGUAUGUUUCGGUUUUCAUUGAUUUGGCCAAUGAAGGUGCCGGUGUUCGAGCACUUAUCGAGCUCACCGUGUGGACCGGAGUGGGAAAGGGAAGCACGAGAUUCAUAGUCACUUUGUUCGGGCGUUGGAGAGUGGGCUUUACACGUUGAAGUACAGAGGGAGCAUGUGGUAAGAAAUUGAGUUUUGGAAGUUAGGGUUUGGUUCAUAAUUUUAUUUUUUAUUUUUUAAAUAUAUUUAUUUGAGUGUUUAGAGAAUGAAUUUGAUAGUUUAUAAGGUAAUUGUUGUUUUUAUAUACAUUAUAAUUAUUAAAUGGGUUUAUGUUCUCUGCCUCUGAUAGCAUUUGAUCCCUAAAUCUCAAUGGCUAACAUGCAUGCAUUUAACCAUCAAGACACAAGGAAUUAAAGUUAUUAAAUGGGUGUAUGUUGGUGAAUUGUGAUCGGAAAUGGAGGUUUGAGGUUUAGCGUAUAUGAAACUGUUUAUAUGCCUUUGUUUGAUGAAUUGGUAAACAGAUGCACUUUUAGGACAUGGGUAGGACUGGUAGUUUACAUUUUUUGCCAUUUUUUACAUUUAAUUUUGUGGAUCUAAGUAUCACACUGAAAUUUAUUUAAAGUGCCACAAUAAGUAUCAACUCAUAUAAGUUAAAAAUUAUCGAGAUCGGAGCAAAUAAUGAGGGGAUACAGCUUCCCUUGAGAUUGGGCAUCGAAAUUAGGUAGGGAAAUUAGGGUUUUAGAUAUAACUAGAGGGAAACUUAAUUCCUUUGAAGUGUUGGAAUUUUUCUCAGCCGAUGGUCAAUCCAAACAAAGAUGAAUAUUUUGGAGAAUUUGUUGGCUUAAGACAGAUUGUAAUGUGUGAAGAACUUGGAGAUCUUCUGAAGGGUUGAGGAAGGCAGCUCAAAUGGGAAAUAUUGAUGCCUUGUAAAGCCUAUCAGAUUUGGGGAAAUUAUUUUCUCCUCUGGAUCAGUAUAUCAAAGUUUCAUGGUUAAAUGGCAUCCUUGGUUACACUCCUAACAAUGUCUACAGGUCUUUGAAAUUGGUCUAGUUACUUUUCUGGAUCUGGCUGAUGUCAUUUUGGCAAACAGAAUUUUCAACCUUUAUGAUCAAGCUCAAAUUGCUUGACUUGCUUGAGUAAAUUGAGAAGCAUUUGCAUUGUCGAAGAAAGACAACCUUUACAAAGAUGCUAUGUAAAUCUCCAGUGGCUGGUGAUCAUGAACUUGCCAGUAAGUUGCUUGUAUGCUUUACUGAAAAGGAAAGUGCAUAUUAAAGUUGUUGUAGCUUUUGUAGAAAAUGGGGAGUUUGACAAAAUCUUGAUUAAAUCAAAAUAGCCUAUCAGAUUUAGGGAGAUUAUUUUCUCCUCUAGAUCAGCAUCAGAGAUUCAUUAGUAAAUGGCAUCCUCAAGUUGGUUACAAUGUGUUUCUUCUGCAAAAAGUUACCUGUAGAAAUCUGCAGGUUAGUUACUGUUUUCUGCAGCUUUUAGUAUUUGAGGUUUGGAAGUUUGUGGAAUCAUAAGUACAAUCGAUAAACAAGUUAAAAUGUGUUAAAUAUUUAAAUUAAAGCCUUUUAAGUCAAUUUUAUAAAUAUUCUUAUCAAAUUAAAAUCUCUUUUUAGCAUUUUCUAAUUAAUAGAUGUUAGUAGUUUGGAAAUGUUUGAAGGGAUAUGAUUUUUGUAUGGAGAAACUAUUUUUCAUUAAGGACAAUGUGUUAUAUAAGUUUGGGUGUAUGCGAAAAUUGCCCAAAAUUUGAAAAUUUUUUUCAAAUUUUCUUUGAUUUUUGCCUUGAAAUUAAGCUUAACAUUUAGUAACUUGAAUUAUUACUAUGCUUUCUUUGAUUAGUUCUCCAUGAAGCCAAUGAUAGGUAGUGAUUGAGAAUGAAUAUAGCUUUAGGAAAGAUUGAAUAUGUGUGAAAUAUGAGAUGAUACUUAGGUCUAGUGAAUUCUUGAAUAUGGUAUUUGUUUGUGAGUGAUGCUUUUGAACAUUGAAUUACAUUUUUUUUUUAUCCAGUAUUGAUUAUGUGAGCAUGAGAUUGUUUUUGCAUUGGUCUUUAAAGUUGUGUUUCAUGAUUCUAGAAUUUGUUUUGAUCAUUUUUCGUGGUGAAAUUCUAGGGGACACAUGAUUAAGGAAAUGAUAUAGGCCAUCAUUGGAUCGUUUGAGCCUUUCAAUACAACCUUGAUAUAUUAUUUCCAUAGUCACCCCAUAUGAGUCUUAUGAUGCCUUUUCUUUGUUUUGAAACCACAUUACAAGCCUAUAGACUUAUUUUGUAUAUUUCCUAUCUUUUUUAUCCUUUACCCUAUAUAUGCAUUAGGACAUUCAUCCUCCAUUUAUGAGCUAUACAUUAUUAGGGAGGAAGGAUGGAGCUUGGAAUAAGAAUGGGAAAAUAAAAAAAAAUAAAAAAAACCAAAAGAGAAAGAAAAAGUCAAUCUUACAAAAGAAAAAAAAAAAGAAAAAGUUGUGAAAAAGAAAAGAAAAACAAAAGUAAUAAAGUGGUGCAAAAGCAAAGAAAAGAAGGAAAGAAAGAAAAAUUUGCACAAUCAAAGUUUGGGGGGAUUCUUUAGUCAAGCUUACUUUUCUUACUUGGGAAGCUUAACUUUGGAUGAUCCUAGACAUGUGAUGCAUUGUUAGGGUACUUGAGUUUAAAUGACUUUUAUCAUACCUUGACCUUAGUCUUACAUUACAAGCUUAAUAAAGUCUUAAAUGAUCCUUGGUCAUGUGUUUAUCUACAUUAGUGGAGAGAGAUGUGAUAAGGAAACUUAUGGAACAUGAGCAUGUUUUAUUGAUAAUUGUUACUAAAGUUUCAUGUUUUGCAUAACAUUAUUAGAUUUCAUGCAAGAAUAUAUGAGAGAUGUUGCUUGCUUGUGGAACCAUAGUUAAGAAUGAUCUUAGUCUAGGUAGAUUCUUGUAUAUUAUCACUUGUUCAUGAUUUUACUUUGGUUAUAUUCAUUGAUCAAUUCAUGAAGCAUUCAUAUUGAAUAAGGCAUUGAGAGUAUAGUAUGAUUCUUGCUCAAUCUUGUUUUGCUUAAGGACAAGCAAAAGCUUAAAUUUGGGGGCUUGAUUGCACUAAAAUUUUAGCUUUUUCAAGCUCAUUUUUAGUGCAAUUUUCUUUACAUUUUGGCUUGUUCCUUGGGAUUUUUGGCAAAAAUAUUUUUUUGUUGAAUUUGUACUGCCAUUUUCUAUGCUAUUAAUGUGAGAUUUCUCUUAUAAAAGCCUAUCAGAUUUGGAGAGAUUAUUUUCUCCUCUAGACCAGCAUCAAAGAUUCAUAGUUAAAUGGCGACAUCAGGUUUGUUACAAUGUCUUCCUUCUGCAAAAAAUUCCUUGUAGAAAUCUGUAGGUUAUUUACUGUUUUCUGCAACUUUUAGUAUUGGAGGUUUGGAAGAUUGUGGAACCAUAAGUACUACCAAUAGACAAGUUAAAAUGUGUUAAAUAUUUAAAUUAAAGGCUUUUAAGUCAAUUUUGUAAAUAUUCUUAUUAAAUUAAAUUAUGUUUUUAGCAUUUUCAAACCAAUAGAUGUUGGUAUUUUAGAUUUUUUUAUGGAAUAGGAUUUUUGUAGUUAUCAUGGAGAAACUAUUUUUUUUAGGAAGAUCAGUUAUUAUUUAAUUAAUUACUCAGAGAACUGCUAAUUUUGCAUUGAUGACUUCUCAUAAGGAGGGAGGUUACCCAGGUGAGUACAAUACCAUUAUACAUCUUUUUUUCAAGUUUAGUUAUGUCAGUGGUCAUAAAAUUAGUGGGAUAUACAUAGAACAUAUGUAAAUUUUUAAUGGAUUUUUCAUGUUUUCAAAAGAACUUAUCGAGGAGGCUACUGCUUUGCUAUACCAUAUGUUCAAGAUUACGCCACUUCAAUAGAAAGGUUAGCUCUUUCUGGAUUAUAAUCUCUAAAACUUGAAAUAUCCAUCUUCUUUAGUAGUUUCAAUAGAUGUUUGUUCUCAUUGAGUUUUUCUUAUAUUGUUUUAUGAUUAUUCUUGUUUGAUUUACUCCCUUUUGCAUAUCUUUAGGUUCCUAAGGCCUUCUAUUGGAGAAAGUAAUGGAUAAUUGUCUUAGGGUUAAUUGGGGUUUAAUUUUUUUUAGAUAUAUUUGAGGUUUUCAGUUUAAGAUAAGGUUAUAAUACUUGAUUUGUGAGCUUGGGUUUGUUCAAUCAGUAAAAUGAGUUAAGAAAGUAAUGGAAAUUGGUCUAGCUGCUUUUCUGGAUCUGGCUGAUGCCAUUUUGGCAAAUGGAAUGUUCAGCCUCUAUGAUCAAGCACAAAUUGCUUGACUUGCUUGAGUAGAUUGAGAAACAUUUGCAUUUUUGCAGAAAGACAACCUUUAGAAAGAUGCAAUGGGAAUCUCCAGUGGCUGGUGAUCAUGAACUUGCCAGCAGGUUGCUUGUUUACUUUAUUGAAAAGAAUCUUUUGUUGAAUUGAUUGGCGGAAGGCAAAUGAGAAUGUGUGAGGAACUUAAAGACCUUCUAAAGAUCUAUUAAUUUUGCAUUGAUGAUGUCUCAAAAGGAUGGAGGUUAUCCAGGUGAGUACAAUACCAUUAUACAUCUCUUCAAGUUUUGUUAUGUCAAUUGGUUGUAAAAGUAGUGAGUUAUAUACAGAACAAAUGUAAUUAUUUAAUGGAUUUUUCUUUUUGUUUUCAAAGGAACUUAUCGAGGAGGCUACUGCUUUGCUAUAACUUAUGUUGAAAGAUUUGCUACUUUAAAAGAAGGAUUAGCUCUUUUCAGAUUACAUUCUCUAAAACUUUAAAUAUCCAUCUUCUUUAGAAUUUCAUUAGAUGUAUGUUCUCAUUGCGUUUUUCUUAUAUUGUGUUAUGAUUGUUCUUGUUUGAUUUUUUUCCCUUUUGCAUAUCUUUAGGUUCCUAAGGCCUUCUAUUCGAGAAAGUAAUGGAUAAUUGUCUUAGGGUUGCAUCGGGGUUUAAUUUAUUUGGGAUAUAUUUGAGGUUUUGAGUUUAAGUUAAGGUUAUAAUACUUUAACCGCAUAUUAAAGUUGUUGCAGCUUUUGUAGAAAAUAGGGAGUUUGACAAAAUCUUGAUUUAAUCAAAAUAGGUGAUUGCAACUUUUUUUUUUUUGAAUUUGUACUGGCAUUUUCUAUAUUAUUAACGUGAGAUUUCCGUUAUAAAAGCCUAUCAGAUUUCGGGAUAUUAUUUCUCGUAUAGAACAGCAUCAAAAUUUCAUGGUUAAAUGGCGUACUCAGGUUGGUUAGGAUGUUUUCCUUCUGCAAAAAUUUCCUUGUAGAAAUCUAUAGUUUAGCUACUGUUUUCUACAGCUUUUAGUAUUUGAGAUUUGAAAGCUUGUGAAAUCAUAAGUGCAACUGAUACUGGUUGUACAUGUGCAAAAAAGUUAUAUGCUGACCGAUAAUGGUUUAUAAUUUGAAAAUUUUCUCGCUUGAUAAUCAAUCUAAGCAAAGAAGAACCUUUUGUAGAAUUGGUUGGAGGAAGGCAAAUUGGAAUGUGUGAGGAAUUUGGAGGCCUUCAGAAGGUUUGAUUUCUACUAGCCUAAUUUUUUUUUUACUUAACAAAUUGUGCAUGAUUUGACCUUUUUUUUUUUACUUUUUCUAGUGGUAAACUAUGUUUUCAUUAUAUAUUGUGGACGAUGAUCUUGCAUAAAAGCAUAUAUUAAAGUUGUUGCAGCUUUUGUGAAAAAUAGGGAGUUUGACAAAGUCUUGAUUUAAUCAAAAUAGGUGAUUGCAACUUUUAUUUUUUUGGAAUUUGUAUUGGCAUUUUCUAUGCUAUUAAUGUGAGAUUUCUCUUAUAAAAAGCCUAUCAGAUUUGGAAAGGUUAUUUUCUCCUCUAGAUCAGCAUCAAAGAUUCAUAGUUAAAUGGCGUUUGUUGCAAUGUCUGUUACAAUGUCUUCCUUCUGCAAAAAAUUCCUAGUCGAAAUCUACAGGUUAGUUAUUGUUUUUUGUAGCUUGCAGAGAAUUCUAAACGGACUAUCUAUCUUAGGUUGUAACUUCUAAAACUUCUCUUGUGGAAAUCUACACCAAAUCACCUUUUUUGAACUUCACGUCUUUGAUGCUUGUUUGUUGCUUUUUUGUAUUUUUCAUUUUGCUGUAAAAUCUUAGUUCUCAUUUAUUUAUGUAGUCAUUUGAUAUCCUUAACUAUUUAUUUUGCAUCUUCACUAAAUUGUUUAUUAGUUGAGAGAAGAACUAAAUGUGAAGGGUUGAUUGGAUUCUUAUCAUAAAUCACCUCAAAAGGGCUCCAACUAGUGGUUUGGUUGGUGAGUAGUUGUAAACAAACUAUACUUAAGGUAAAACAAGAUUUUAUUGCUUGAUAUUUUUUCUCACAACUUUUUAAAUGGUUGUCCAAGUUGCAGUUGGUUACAAGCUUCCUCUAAAAGAUACGUCAAAAAUGACUAAAAAACUUGAAAUCUCGAUUAGAUAUUAUGAAUCUAGGAUACAGAACUUUUUUUGAUAAAUAAGUAUGAAAUAUAACAAAAAGUUAAAAACUUUGUAUAAAAUGAUUUUUAUAUCACAAUUUGAAAUUGUGUAAAUAGUUUUUAUGCUCAUGAUUGUUCAAAAACAGAUUUUGAUAUUUUAAACUCCAAAGUCUUUUACAACUUACACUUAAAUGUUGUGAAAAAUUAAAAUCAAUGCAAUUUAUCAUGUUUUUUUGCUUGAGCAUGUUUAAAAACAUUAGAUUUAAAAUAUUUAAAUUCAAUUUCAUUUCAAAAUUUGCUAGAAUAGUAUUCAUACUUGUGCAAAAUGAAAUUGUGCAAAUGAUUUUUAUGUUCAUAAUUGUUCAAAAAUAGAUUUUGAU